Long non-coding RNA from Ailuropoda melanoleuca (giant panda), 1788 nucleotides. RefSeq lists it as uncharacterized. NCBI's taxonomy places the organism in Eukaryota, Metazoa, Chordata, Mammalia, Carnivora, Ursidae. The record is from RefSeq and is a predicted model, not a curated record. The transcript is spliced from 3 exons.
AGAAAGAUGAAUACUCAGCCACACAAGAACUAAUAUAUUAGGGAGAGCACUGGAGCAGGAGCGAGGCUGUCGGGGCCACUGGCUAACUUGAACAAUCUCAUUACACCUCAGUUUCAUCAUCUAUUAAAUCAAGGUGUUAGAUGAGUUUCCAGUGCCCCAUCUAGCUGUGACAUGCUUAAGAGUCUGUGUGUCAAAUACUAAUAGACACAUCACAUCACAUAUAUCCAAACACAUAUGUGUGAUCAUACUAAUUAUUGCAGAUCAAUAAUAUAGAAUAAUCAAUCUAUCGAACAUAGAUUCUUGGACCUGAAAAACCAUUUUAAGAGUGAACAUAUUAGUUAUUGUAGAUCACGAAUAUAGAAACCACAACCUAUCUACCUAUCACCUACCUAUCUAUCUAGUUUCUCAGACCUUAAAAACCAUUUUAAGGGUGACUAAAUAACUAGCUUUUAGUGACCCUGAUUUUCCUGAUGGGCACAUGCCCGUGUGCAGGAACACAAUUGAGCGGUUAAAAAAGACUAGCUUGCCAUUCUGCUACUGGCACCGUCUUGUUCUGAAAACAUCUGGUUUCUAAGAACAGGAACUUCAAAUCCGAUGCUAUAGAAUUAGAACAGAAAAUCAUUUGCAUACCCUUGUGAAACAGCUGAUUCUUUGCUGCUAUAUAACCUGUAUCCACGUCAACUGGCAGCUCUGUUUUGCUCCUGCUCUCAGUUGGCUGCUAAUCAGCACCUUUAAGAAUGUUAACCCUGGGACAGAAAAUUAAUUUUGCCUUGAAAACAUGCAUUAUAAAUUCUUUGCAACUGUCUUAUAUUGUAUUUCAGCAAAUUAAUUCCACAUUAGAUGUAUUCUUCCUGUGCUUUUUGAUGCCAUUUUGAAGGUGCCUGGGCCAAACCAAAUUUCCGAAAUCCUAAACAGCCAGUUCUGUUUCAAAUGGAUCUUCCCAGGGUCCCACAGAAGAGCCCCUACAGGCUGUUGAAAUCUAGAAGCUUUGUGUGAUUUGAAACUCUCAGGAGACACAGAGACAGUGUGCAGAAAGAGAUUCACUGACACACAGCUUUCUUCUUUCGAUUCCCUUUUCUGCCAGGAUCUUUUGCAUUUUGGUAUCAAUACCCUGGCUGCAGUAUACCUACACCGUGUGAAAGAUUAUUCCUACAAAUUAAAUAAAACGGAUUGGGCAAAAAGCAAGGGGUGACAAUAACCCGACACCAUUAAAGUACCUUUACUAGGGCUUCAUUCUUUUCCCCUUUACCUGGAGGGAUUCAUGAUCACCAGUGUAGUUUUUAACAUGCUGUGUAUUUAUAAGCCGAUCUGAAGGCAUUUUGUGCAGGUCCAGGAGGAGAAUGGAGGAGCCUAAAGCUUGCAAGAGGCUGAGCUGUUCUAGUGCGCGUCAAAACACUGCUGACUUUACAUGGCACAGUCACAGAAUGAGGUGGCCAAGAAAACACCCUAAUUUGGACAAGGAAUGAUGCUAUGAGAAAACUGAACUGUGUUAGAAACACAUAGUACAGAACCAAGCUGGAGGCAAAGGGUGGGACCAGAGGCAAGCCACAGGAGCACCCUGAAGUGAGGCUUCCUGUCAGAAGGCCCAGUGUCACAACCUGCUGCUUGAAGCAGAUCCCUGGAGAAUAUUCCAUGAAUGCAGAUUCUCCAGAAAUAAAACUAAAGACAGUUUUAUGCAGGAGACUGAGGAGGAGUGAGAGCUCACGCUGGCGCAUGUGAGGUGGUUUGGGAGGGAGUGGCGCAUUUUGUUUCUGUGCAAUUAGGCUCGGCCUUACCUCACUUUCCGGG